GGAGUCUGGGCCGUGUCUCAGUCCCAAUGUGGCCGUUCAACCUCUCAGUCCGGCUACUGAUCGUCGACUUGGUAGGCCGUUACCCCACCAACUAUCUAAUCAGACGCGAGCCCAUCUUUAAGCGAUAAAUCUUUGAUUGCCAAAUCAUGCGGUUCGGCAAUGUUAUGCGGUAUUACCAUCCGUUUCCAGAAGCUAUUCCGCUCUUAAAGGCAGGUUGCUCACGUGUUACUCACCCGUCCGCCACUAAGUUAUUCAAAAGCAAGCUCCUAAAUAACUCCGUUCGACUUGCAUGUGUUAAGCGUGCCGCCAGCGUCGUCCUCGAGCCACGGAUCAAACUACU
This 340-nucleotide ribosomal RNA is filed under the name uncultured Ruminococcus sp. Its description in RNAcentral is "partial 16S ribosomal RNA". The record is from RNAcentral. Lineage: Bacteria; Bacillati; Bacillota; Clostridia; Eubacteriales; Oscillospiraceae.